RNAcentral lists this long non-coding RNA (712 nucleotides) under Anser brachyrhynchus (Pink-footed goose). RNAcentral describes it as "lncRNA (ENSABRG00000007425.1)". The record is from RNAcentral. Lineage: Eukaryota; Metazoa; Chordata; Aves; Anseriformes; Anatidae.
UCCCAAUCUAGAAGCAGGGCACAGAUGUAGAGAAUCUGUUUUUUCAUACACCUCCUUUCUGUCCUGAGCUCAUGGGUUCUCUGGCAUUAACAACCAAAUUGAAACCAUCAGUUCCAAAUUAGAAAUGCAGAUAAGCUCUCAUGAGGAGCAGAUGCAAACUGCCUCUGAUUGUGUCCAACAAGGGACUUUGAAUGUGAUAGUGUUUUUUAUGUCCCUGUAUUAUAGAGGAUGGACUUGUACUCUCCCUGAGAAUCUUCUGCUGAUCCUUGCCCAAAAUGUGGAACUAAAGAACAGCUUUUGUCUGCAAAAGUAUCUCAGGAAACUGUUCUGUGGACGACUGUCUUCAAUGGUACUCUACAGGUCUCUGACCCUGCUCCCUUGAGGAAAUACAGGAGAAAAUUCUAGCUCCUACUAGGUGUUGCUGCUUCUUACUGCAUCUGGGCUUUGACCUCUUAUCCAUUUAAAAUGCAUCUGCUGAGUGCUGAGUUCUUCUCUUUUGUCUGUUGCUCUGAAGCUCUGAGCAUAAAACUUUUUUUUUUUGUCCUGUUUCAUUUGCUGCUCUACCUUUUCCUGUUCCUCACUGCACAAUCUGUCUUACCUUGAAGGUCGUUCACAGCACUCCCUCCCUGUCUAGUCAUGUCUCUUAUCUCGGAACAUUAAUUUAGCUUGCCUACUGCGAGUGAAAGUAAUAAAAAAUAAUUGGUUGUUUGCA